This 432-nucleotide ribosomal RNA is filed under the name uncultured bacterium. RNAcentral's name for it is "partial 16S ribosomal RNA". It matches the Rfam family "Bacterial small subunit ribosomal RNA", at positions 29 to 507 of the family's 1533-position model. The record is from RNAcentral.
AGCGAACGCUGGCGGCAGGCCUAACACAUGCAAGUCGAACGAACUCUUCGGAGUUAGUGGCGGACGGGUGAGUAACACGUGGGAACGUGCCUUUUGGUUCGGAAUAACUCAGGGAAACUUGUGCUAAUACCGAAUGUGCCCUUCGGGGGAAAGAUUUAUCGCCAUUAGAGCGGCCCGCGUCUGAUUAGCUAGUUGGUGAGGUAACGGCUCACCAAGGCGACGAUCAGUAGCUGGUCUGAGAGGAUGACCAGCCACACUGGGACUGAGACACGGCCCAGACUCCUACGGGAGGCAGCAGUGGGGAAUCUUCGCAAUGGGCGAAAGCCUGACGCAGCCAUGCCGCGUGAAUGAUGAAGGUCUUAGGAUUGUAAAAUUCUUUCACCGGGGACGAUAAUGACGGUACCCGGAGAAGAAGCCCCGGCUAACUUCGUG